This is a long non-coding RNA of Xenia sp. Carnegie-2017, 1858 nucleotides long. RefSeq lists it as uncharacterized. The record is from RefSeq and is a predicted model, not a curated record. The transcript has 3 exons. Lineage: Eukaryota; Metazoa; Cnidaria; Anthozoa; Malacalcyonacea; Xeniidae.
CAAAGCGUAAUGCAGGUGUUUUGCUUUAUCACACGAAUAAAAUAAGCCAUUGCGUUAAUCUGGUGAAACACAUGAAGGAAGUUAAAAUUUACGAUGGCACCAAUGGUAGAGACAAUCCGAUAGACUUUGAUAAAGCCCUUUCUGCUCAGGUUGUUGUCUUAUCUUUUACAAACGAUGAAAAUGAUGAAAACUAUGGAAUUUCUGUCAUUGCCAGUAAAUGGUUUGAUUGCUAUUCGGACAUUUGCAAAACGGAAUAUGUCCAAAGUCACGCAAAUAAUAGAAAUCUUAGUUGUUCAAGUAGGACGGUGGCAGCUGAUGGUCUUUAAACUUAAAAUUUGUUUUUGGUGUUAGCCAAAUUCCGAAACUUCCCACCCUCGCUCAAUUAUAAAGAACUCAAAAAGAAGCAUGUGAACUUACAUAAUAUAGAUUUUAGGGCAAACAAGAAGACAUUGACAACUCAUCCCACAACUUACGUAGCAACAUACCGAGCUUCCCAACAAACCCUAUCGACCUUCUCUUAAGCAUAAAAAGAACCAAAAAAAAGAUCAGGAUAUUAUGCAAUAUGAACCAAUUGAAAAGAAUGGGAAAAUGCCAAUUAGGCGCUCAUUAUGCCAACCAAAAAAAACAGAUAAAAGCCUCAAAGGCAAAAACCACCAAACGACCUGACAAGUUGAAAAGUUGUUACCCCAAGAAAGAAAAAAUUCAGAAAACGUAGAUAACACACAAGUUGCAAAGCCUCUUGGAUCUUAAAUUAUGGACCAAUAUUAUCUCACUUUCUUCCGUUCGAUUUUAAUCCAUAGAAAUAGAUUUUUGAAAGAAAAAGUAAAAUCCUAUCUACUUAUCAAGUGCAUAGCAUUAACCAGUGGCUAUCCAGUCUUCUCACCGGCCUUCUGAGCAAUGCUGUACGAUCUGUGCUCCAAAUUCUUCAUAUGUUGAUUUUGAUGGCUAAGUUACUUUAUGGUGUCUACUCGUGCUAUCAAACACACGAAACAGAUACUUAUUCGUGGAAACGCUUUAUCAACAGAGCACUGAACCAGACAAUUUUUAAUUAUUUUAAGAACAGAAUAAACGUUACGACAUUUAACAGGGCGAAGAAAACAGUUUCAUCGAAUCCUUUGGUUGCCACAUCACGUGACCAUUUACGCCUCUAGGUGUUGGAUAAAUCGUAUCUUAACUUUGUCGAGUAAAAUGUCUCACAACUUGGUGACAUAUAGUGAUCACUACACCGUAAUUGAAAGGUACAGGCGACAAAAUGAUGAUGUUCUGUUUGAUAGCGAUACAUGUGACCACAUUUUACUGGAAACAAGACCUAUCUAAGUUGUUUCAACAGUUUGAUAUGAAUGAACGCAAUCAUCAACGAAAAUUGAAUACCACUGAGGCGAUUCAAAAGUUUUCAUUAAUGGAAGACUUACUGGCAAGAUGUAAGGGAAGAAAUAGCUAUAGCUAUAAAAUUUCUGAUAAAGUUGAAAAAACAAUCGGAAGAUAAAUUAUUAAUUUAUGUAUAAUAGCUAGUUCUUUAUAACAUACAAUAACUCUACCAUUUUCAAAUUUUGUUUGAUAUUUCUAUAUGAGUGACGGAUCUAUGACACAUCAAUCAGAAUAAAUUAUUGUAGCUCGUUUGGGGUUUAAAAAAUACCUUAGAGGAAAUUUUUUUGAUAAAAUUUUAUCAUUUAGAAAUUCAAAUAUUUAGUUUACUUCUGAAAGUGUUUUGUAUUAAAAAUUGAGUAUCGAGCCUAUAAUUUAUUAUGACUAACACUGGAUCCGCCAUUGUAACAAAAUAUAUUUAAUCACAAAACUAGCUUCAAAAGAGUUGUACGUAAAGUUUUUAAUAUUAUUGAAUUUGGCAUUAAUGAGCGUA